This 336-nucleotide unclassified non-coding RNA is filed under the name soil metagenome. RNAcentral's name for it is "partial contains 5.8S ribosomal RNA, internal transcribed spacer 2, and large subunit ribosomal RNA". The stretch from base 1 to 120 matches the Rfam family "5.8S ribosomal RNA", at positions 35 to 154 of the family's 154-position model. The record is from RNAcentral.
GAUGAAGAACGUAGCGAAAUGCGAUAAGUAAUGUGAAUUGCAGAAUUCAGUGAAUCAUCGAAUCUUUGAACGCACAUUGCGCCCGCCAGUAUUCUGGCGGGCAUGCCUGUUCGAGCGUCAUUUCAACCAUCAAGCCCCCGGCUUGUGUUGGGGACCUGCGGCUGCCGCAGGCCCUGAAAAGCAGUGGCGGGCUCGCUGUCACACCGAGUGUAGUAGCAUACAUCUCGCUCUGGGCGUGCUGCGGGUUCCGGCCGUUAAACCACCUUCAUAACCCAAGGUUGACCUCGGAUCAGGUAGGAAGACCCGCUGAACUUAAGCAUAUCAAUAAGCGGAGGA